RNAcentral lists this ribosomal RNA (253 nucleotides) under uncultured bacterium. RNAcentral describes it as "partial 16S ribosomal RNA". It matches the Rfam family "Bacterial small subunit ribosomal RNA", at positions 524 to 776 of the family's 1533-position model. The record is from RNAcentral.
UACGUAGGGGGCAAGCGUUAUCCGGAAUUACUGGGUGUAAAGGGAGCGUAGACGGUAAUGUAAGUCUGGAGUGAAAGGCGGGGGCCCAACCCCCGGACUGCUCUGGAAACUAUGUUACUAGAGUGCAGGAGAGGUAAGCGGAAUUCCUAGUGUAGCGGUGAAAUGCGUAGAUAUUAGGAGGAACACCAGUGGCGAAGGCGGCUUACUGGACUGUAACUGACGUUGAGGCCCGAAAGCGUGGGGAGCAAACAGG